Molecule: ribosomal RNA, 254 nt
Filed under: uncultured bacterium
Lineage: Bacteria
Description: partial 16S ribosomal RNA
Rfam family: Bacterial small subunit ribosomal RNA
Source: RNAcentral
GACGAACCGUGCAAACGUUGUUCGGAAUCACUGGGCUUAAAGGGCGCGUAGGCGGGCUCGCCAGUCAGGGGUGAAAGCCCACGGCUCAACCGUGGAAGUGCCUCUGAUACUGCGAGUCUCGAGGGAGGUAGGGGCGUGCGGAACUUCCGGUGGAGCGGUGAAAUGCGUAGAUAUCGGAAGGAACACCGGUGGCGAAAGCGGCGCGCUGGACCUCUUCUGACGCUGAGGCGCGAAAGCCAGGGGAGCAAAGCGGG